RNAcentral lists this ribosomal RNA (743 nucleotides) under uncultured bacterium. RNAcentral describes it as "bacterial SSU rRNA". It matches the Rfam family "Bacterial small subunit ribosomal RNA", at positions 61 to 816 of the family's 1533-position model. The record is from RNAcentral.
GUUGAGCGGAGAUAUAUGGAGCUUGCUUUAUAUAACUUAGCAGCGAACGUUUGAGUAACACGUAGAUAAUCUAUCCUAUACUGGGGGAUAGCCCGAUGAAAGUUGGAUUAAUACCGCAUAUAGCUAUAUAGUUGCAUGAUUAUGUAGUGAAAGAUUUAUUGGUAUAGGAGGAGUCUGCGGCACAUUAGCUAGUAGGUGAGGUAAAGGCUUACCUAGGCGACGAUGUGUAGCCGGUCUGAGAGGAUGAACGGCCACAAUGGAACUGAGACACGGUCCAUACUCCUACGGGAGGCAGCAGUGGGGAAUAUUGCACAAUGGGGGAAACCCUGAUGCAGCAACGCCGCGUGAGUGAAGAAGGUUUUCGGAUUGUAAAGCUCUGUUAGCAGGGAAGAGGAAGGACGGUACCUGCAGAGGAAGCCACGGCUAACUACGUGCCAGCAGCCGCGGUAAUACGUAGGUGGCAAGCGUUGUUCGGAAUAACUGGGCGUAAAGGAUGCGUAGGGGGUUAAACAAGUUAUAUGUUAAAUAUAUAGGCUUAACCUGUAGAAAGCAUAUAAAACUGUUUAACUAGAGUGCAGGAGAGGUAAGUGGAAUUCCUAGUGUAGCGGUGAAAUGCGUAGAGAUUAGGAAGAACACCAGUGGCGAAGGCGACUUACUGGACUGUAACUGACGCUGAGGCAUGAGAGCAUGGGGAGCAAACAGGAUUAGAUACCCUGGUAGUCCAUGCUGUAAACGAUGGGUAC